This 2673-nucleotide small RNA is filed under the name Pongo abelii (Sumatran orangutan). Its description in RNAcentral is "retained intron". The record is from RNAcentral. Lineage: Eukaryota; Metazoa; Chordata; Mammalia; Primates; Hominidae.
UAUGAGGCAUUUUGCUUUCCCCCAGCAUUUUAAUGAGUCUUGGCCUUGUCCCUUAUCAGCCAUCACUUACUGCAAACUAAGUUCUCUCUCAUGCUCUGUCACGCAUAGCUCUAAAUGGCGUAUUUUUUCUCUCUCUCUUUCUUUUUUAAUUUAAAUUGUUUCAUCAGCUCAGUCACUUAAUAACAUGCCUGUAGAAUGGCUUAAAUUUCACAUUUACCUGGGGUUUGUCUCCAUUCUCCUGGAUAUGUAAACAGUUACACAAUUAUGUGUAUAAUUUAAACAGCCAUUCCCAGAAGCUCCGAAGGAAACAUGGGUUACAGGAUUAGAUUUAACUAUCAAAGGCUCAGGGGCUAAUUAACUAGCACUUGGGUGGAAAUUUAUAUUAAGUGCCACAUAUCUAGGACUGAAAUCUUAUCUUCAUGUAGCACGUCAUAGGUUCUGAAGUAUUUCUCAUUUAUUCCUCAUCAUAACCCUCAUACCACACAUUGAUAUCGUUACCCCCAUUUGACAAAUGGGGAAAACAGACCUAGGAAGGUUAGAUGCUUACUUCAGUGAUACAACUGGAGCUUAAGUUCAGGUAUUCUGACUCAAGGGUUACCAGAGUUCACAAGGAAAAAUACAGGACACCAGCUUAAAUCUGAAUUUCAGAUAAGCAAUGAAUAAUUUUUUAAUCAUAAGUAUAUCUCUUGCAUAAGUACAUCUCAUGCAACAUUUGAGAUCUACUUACACUAAAAUAGUAUUUGUGGUUUAUCUGAAAUUCAAUUUAACUGAGCACCCUGCAUUUUAUCUUAUAACUGUGACUCCCAAAUUUGAUGCUUGUUGCUUAGUAUUCUGUGAUGUUCUGCUGUAAUUAAAAAUAUAAAGUACUGGACAGGUGUGGCGGCUAUAACCCACCUGUAAUCCCAGCACUUUGGGAGGCUGAGCAGAUGGGUUCCUUGAGCUCAGGAGCUCAAGACCAGCCUGGGUAACAUGGUGAGACCCUGUCUCUAGAAAAAAUGCAAAAAUUGGCCAGGUGGUGGCAUGCACCUGCAGUCCCAGCUACACGGGAGGCUGAAGUGGGAGGAUCACCUGAGCCCAGGGAGGUCAAGGCUACGGUGAUUUGUGAUUACGCCACUGCACUUCAGCCUGGACAACAGAGUGAGACCCUGUCUCAAAAAAAAAAAAGUACUUUCUCUGUUGUGACUUUCACCCUGGCAGUUUCAGGUUUAGAAAUCUUUGGGGGGUGCUGGGCAUGGUGGCUCACACCUGUAAUCCCAGCACUUUAGGAGGCCGAGGUGGGUGGAUCACUUGAGGUCAAGAGCUCAAGACCAGCCUGGCUAACAUGGUGAAACCCCAUCUCUACUAAAAACACAAAAAUUAGCCAGGUGGUUGUGGCACGCGUCUGUAAUCCCAGCUACUCGGGAGGCUGAGGCAGGAGAAUUGCUUGAGCCUGGGAGGCGGAGGUUGCAGUGAGCCAAGAUCGCGCCACUGCACUCCAGCCUGGGUGACAGAGUGAGACCCUGUCUCAAGAAGAAAAAAAAAAAGAAAUCUUUGUUUUUCUUUCAUUUGACAAAGAUGCUUAUUAAUUUAUCUUUCCCCGUACUCUUAAUCCUCACCAGAGAAACUUGCCCAGGCCAAAGAAGAGAACGUGGGCUUACAUCAGACACUGGAUCAGACACUAAAUGAACUUAACUGUAUAUAAGCAAAACAGAAGAGUCUUGUUCCAACAGAAACUCCGGAGCUCCGUGGGUCUUUCUCUUCUCUUGUAAGAAGUUCCUUUUGUUAUUGCCAUCUUCGCUUUGCUGGAAAUGUCAAGCAAAUUAUGAAUACAUGACCAAAUAUUUUGUAUCAGAGAAGCUUUGAGCACCAGUUAAAUCUCAUUCCUUCCCUUUUUUUUUCAAAUGGCACCAGCUUUUUCAGCUCUCUUAGUUUUUCCGUAAGUUGCAUUUAUUCCUAAGGUAGGCAGGGUAUUUCCUAGUAAGCAUACUUUCUUAAGAUGGAGGCCAUUUGGUUCCUGGGAGAAUAGGCAGUCCCACACUUUGAAGAACACAGACCCCAGUAUCUAGUCGUGGAUAUAAUUAAAACGCUGAAGACCAUAACCUUUUGGGUCAACUGUUGGUCAAACUAUAGGAGAGACCAGGGACUAUCACAUGGGUAGGGAUUUUCCAUCCAGAGCCAAUAAAAGGGCUGGUGGGGGCCGGGGGUGGCUAUUGUGGGAAGUCAUAACCCACAGAUAGAUUAACCUAAGAAUCCUGGCCCUUCUCCACACUCCACCAUGCAGAACAAACAUCCUCUCAAGCAGUCAAUGUAGAAUGCUUGGGAAAUAGUCAUAAUUACCCACAUAUAGUAAUUAAUAGAUGGUAAUUAAUAGAUCCUUGAUGUGAUGUUCUUUUGCAUAUUUCCUUCAUUCUAAAAUUGUUCCCUGUCCGGGCGCAGUGGCUUUCGCCUGUAAUCCCAACACUUUGGGAGGCCAGGACAGAUCACUUGAGGUCAGGAGUUCGAGACCAGCCCAGCCAACAUGGCGAAACCAUGCCUCUACUAAAAAUACAAAAACUAUGGUGACGCCUGCCUGUAGUCCCAGCUACUCAGGAGGCUGAGGCAGGAGGAUCGCUUGAACCCAGGAAGUGGAGAUUGCAGUGAGCCGAGAUCGCACCACUGCACUCCAGCCUGGUCGACAGAUUGAGACUCCAUCUC